This 497-nucleotide ribosomal RNA is filed under the name uncultured bacterium. Its description in RNAcentral is "partial 16S ribosomal RNA". It matches the Rfam family "Bacterial small subunit ribosomal RNA", at positions 28 to 507 of the family's 1533-position model. The record is from RNAcentral.
GAUGAACGCUGGCGGCGUGCCUAAUACAUGCAAGUCGAGCGAACAGACGAGGAGCUUGUUCCUCUGACGUUAGCGGCGGACGGGUGAGUAACACGUGGAUAACCUACCUAUAAGACUGGGAUAACUUCGGGAAACCGGAGCUAAUACCGGAUAAUAUAUUGAACCGCAUGGUUCAAUAGUGAAAGACGGUUUUGCUGUCACUUAUAGAUGGAUCCGCGCCGCAUUAGCUAGUUGGUAAGGUAACGGCUUACCAAGGCAACGAUGCGUAGCCGACCUGAGAGGGUGAUCGGCCACACUGGAACUGAGACACGGUCCAGACUCCUACGGGAGGCAGCAGUAGGGAAUCUUCCGCAAUGGGCGAAAGCCUGACGGAGCAACGCCGCGUGAGCGAUGAAGGUCUUCGGAUCGUAAAACUCUGUUAUUAGGGAAGAACAAAUGUGUAAGUAACUAUGCACGUCUUGACGGUACCUAAUCAGAAAGCCACGGCUAACUACGUG